CUACCCUUCAUACAGAGAAGAAAUUAGUGUAGUAUCGUUCUUAUCAGUUUAAUAUCUGAUAUGUCCUCAAUGAGAGGACUUUAUAUUAAACAGAUUUUAUUAUUUUUAUAAUUCUUGGCUGAGCAGGUGUGUUCCUUGAACUUGAGGGUCACAAGGUCCGGGUGGGCUUCCUCU
Vidua chalybeata is the source of this 174-nucleotide small nuclear RNA. RefSeq annotates it as U2 spliceosomal RNA. The transcript has a single exon. The record is from RefSeq and is a predicted model, not a curated record. NCBI's taxonomy places the organism in Eukaryota, Metazoa, Chordata, Aves, Passeriformes, Viduidae.